CCCCUAGAUGUUCUGGGCCGCACGCGCGCUACACUGAACAGUUCAACAAGUCUUAACCUUGGCCGAUAGGUCUGGGUAAUCUUUGAACGCUGUUCGUGAUUGGGAUAGACCUUUGCAAUUAUGGGUCUUCAACGAGGAAUUCCUAGUAAACGCAAGUCAUCAGCUUGCAUUGAUUACGUCCCUGCCCUUUGUACACACCGCCCGUCGCACCUACCGAUUGAAUGGUCCGGUGAAUCUUUAGGACUGUGGCUGAGGCCUUGCCUUGUGCGGGUCUGGCCGUGGGAAUUUAGUUAAACCUUACCAUUUAGAGGAAGGUGAAGUCGUAACA
RNAcentral lists this ribosomal RNA (328 nucleotides) under uncultured eukaryote. RNAcentral's name for it is "partial 18S ribosomal RNA". It matches the Rfam family "Eukaryotic small subunit ribosomal RNA", at positions 1470 to 1796 of the family's 1831-position model. The record is from RNAcentral.